This 422-nucleotide ribosomal RNA is filed under the name uncultured bacterium. RNAcentral's name for it is "bacterial SSU rRNA". It matches the Rfam family "Bacterial small subunit ribosomal RNA", at positions 355 to 774 of the family's 1533-position model. The record is from RNAcentral.
UAAGGAAUAUUGGACAAUGGACGCAAGUCUGAUCCAGCCAUGCCGCGUGAAGGAUGAAUGCCCUCUGGGUUGUAAACUUCUUUUAUAGGGGAAGAAAGAUACUUUUUUUAAGGUAGUUGACGGUACCCUAUGAAUAAGCACCGGCUAACUCCGUGCCAGCAGCCGCGGUAAUACGGAGGGUGCAAGCGUUAUCCGGAUUUACUGGGUUUAAAGGGUGCGUAGGCGGGCAUGUAAGUCAGUGGUGAAAUACCGGAGCUUAACUUCGGAACUGCCAUUGAUACUGCAAGCCUAGAGUAUGGAAGAGAGUGAUGGAAUAUCUGGUGUAGCAGUGAAAUGCGUAGAUAUCAGAUAGAACACCGAUGGCGAAGGCAGUCACUUGGUCCAUUACUGACGCUAAAGCACGAAAGCGUGGGUAGCAAACA